Molecule: unclassified non-coding RNA, 298 nt
Filed under: uncultured Rickettsia sp.
Lineage: Bacteria; Pseudomonadati; Pseudomonadota; Alphaproteobacteria; Rickettsiales; Rickettsiaceae
Source: RNAcentral
AGUAAUGUGUGUAGCUAACCGAUACUAAUAGCUCGAUUGAUUUACUUUGCUGUGAGAUUACAUAUGCAUAUAGUGUUAAUGUUAUAAGAGUGUAGUAUCAACUCACAAAGUUAUCAGGUUAAAUAGCUUUAUCAACUAAUAAAAAUGUUAUUGCAUCACUAAUGUUAUACUGUAGCCCCGCCACGAUAUCCAGCAAAAAUUAUUUUGCUGAGUAUCGUAGUAAAAGUUAAGAUAUGAUGUUAAGAAUUUUUUUGAGUCGUGCAACAACAUUAACAGCAAACUAUAAUACAAAUCUAUC